UCAGGUAGAGAAUACCGAGGCGUUCGGGUGAACUAUGGUUAAGGAACUCGGCAAAAUGCCCCCGUAACUUCGGGAGAAGGGGGGCCAUUCCUGGUGACGGCACUUGCUGCCAGAGCUGGGGGUGGCCGCAGAGACCAGCGAGAAGCGACUGUUUACUAAAAACACAGGUCCGUGCGAAGCCGUAAGGCGAUGUAUACGGACUGACGCCUGC
Molecule: ribosomal RNA, 211 nt
Filed under: Streptomyces sp. XY431
Lineage: Bacteria; Bacillati; Actinomycetota; Actinomycetes; Kitasatosporales; Streptomycetaceae
Description: partial 23S ribosomal RNA
Rfam family: Bacterial large subunit ribosomal RNA
Source: RNAcentral